CACGUAGUUAGCCGUGGCUUAUUCAAGAGGUACCGUCUUCUACUCUUCCCUCUUAAAAGAAGUUUACAACCCGAAAGCCUUCUUCCUUCACGCGGCGUUGCUGGGUCAGGCUUGCGCCCAUUGCCCAAUAUUCCCCACUGCUGCCUCCCGUAGGAGUCUGGGCCGUAUCUCAGUCCCAAUGUGGCCGACCAACCUCUCAGUCCGGCUACUGAUCGUCGCCUUGGUAGGCCGUUACCCUACCAACUAGCUAAUCAGACGCGAGGCCAUCUUUCAGCGAUAAAUCUUUGAUAUAGGCACCAUGCGAUACCUAUAUGUUAUGCGGUAUUAGCAGCCGUUUCCAGCUGUUGUCCCCCUCUGAAAGGCAGGUUCCUCACGCGUUACUCACCCGUCCGCCACUAAGUAACCUCUUCCAUUGACCGAAAUCUCUUUCCGAGGCACUCCGUUCGACUUGCAUGUGUUAAGCACGCCGCCAGCGUUCGUCCUGAGCCAGGAUCAAACUCU
RNAcentral lists this ribosomal RNA (501 nucleotides) under uncultured Oscillibacter sp. Its description in RNAcentral is "partial 16S ribosomal RNA". The record is from RNAcentral. Lineage: Bacteria; Bacillati; Bacillota; Clostridia; Eubacteriales; Oscillospiraceae.